Chrysemys picta bellii (western painted turtle) is the source of this 73-nucleotide non-coding RNA. NCBI's taxonomy places the organism in Eukaryota, Metazoa, Chordata, Testudines, Emydidae. The record is from the annotation of a RefSeq genome assembly.
GUCUUCUUAGUGCAGCCGGCAGCGUGUCAGUCUCAUAAUCUGGAGGCCCUGAGUUUGAUCCUCAGAGAAGACG